UGGGGAAUAUUGGACAAUGGGCGCAAGCCUGAUCCAGCCAUGCCGCGUGAGUGAUGAAGGCCCUAGGGUUGUAAAGCUCUUUCACCGGUGAAGAUAAUGACGGUAACCGGAGAAGAAGCCCCGGCUAACUUCGUGCCAGCAGCCGCGGUAAUACGAAGGGGGCUAGCGUUGUUCGGAUUUACUGGGCGUAAAGCGCACGUAGGCGAACUUUUAAGUCAGGGGUGAAAUCCCGGGGCUAAACCCCGGAACUGCCUUUGAUACUGGAAGUCUUGAGUAUGGUAGAGGUGAGUGGAAUUCCGAGUGUAGAGGUGAAAUUCGUAGAUAUGCGGAGGAACACCAGUGGCGAAGGCGGCUCACUGGACCAUUACUGACGCUGAGGUGCGAAAGCGUGGGGAGCAAACAGG
Molecule: ribosomal RNA, 404 nt
Filed under: Actinomycetes bacterium
Lineage: Bacteria; Bacillati; Actinomycetota; Actinomycetes
Description: Actinobacteria bacterium partial 16S ribosomal RNA
Rfam family: Bacterial small subunit ribosomal RNA
Source: RNAcentral